UUGACAAUCUUAUCGUGAAGGCAUACUUUCAGGAGUGAGGGUAGAGCGGGGUUUCCCCCGCCUUGGUAGUCUUAGUAUGCUGGGUAGCUAAUCACUAAGAGCACCACGAUGAUGACUAACUUCAUCAUGACCCUUUCCUUAUU
Molecule: small RNA, 143 nt
Filed under: Escherichia coli
Lineage: Bacteria; Pseudomonadati; Pseudomonadota; Gammaproteobacteria; Enterobacterales; Enterobacteriaceae
Also listed under: 1 other name
Description: Short Intergenic Abundant RNA
Rfam family: Short Intergenic Abundant RNA
About the family: This family contains multiple ncRNA from E. coli that were identified in a large scale screen of E. coli, were they were called candidates 43,55 and 61. These RNAs have also been identified by other groups and called QUAD RNAs.
Source: RNAcentral